RNAcentral lists this transfer RNA (72 nucleotides) under Curtobacterium sp. MCSS17_016. RNAcentral describes it as "tRNA-Thr". It matches the Rfam family "tRNA". Rfam says of the family: Transfer RNA (tRNA) molecules are approximately 80 nucleotides in length. The record is from RNAcentral. Lineage: Bacteria; Bacillati; Actinomycetota; Actinomycetes; Micrococcales; Microbacteriaceae.
GCCCCGAUAGCUCAGUGGUAGAGCACCGCCAUGGUAAGGCGGCGGUCGUCAGUUCAAUCCUGACUCGGGGCU